CACAAUAGACUGCAAGGACCCUAAACAUGAGCCUUCUCAGGCAGAUGGGACUCCACACUCCCUACGUCCCUGCACCUACAAAUCCUAUAUCUAAGCUUUUUUAGGAUGAUUGAAAAUGAUGGGGUACUGAACAAAUGGGGGCACUGUGCAUCUCCAUCUCAACACUCCUUAUACGGACCUCCCUCUCCCGUAUCCUUCCACACCACUGAGUAGGAGGAAGAACAAUGGCAUAUGUAAGCGGGAGAGGUCGUGGGAGGAGGGGAAGAGGAGGGGAUGCUCCUAUUCCCACCAAUCACUUGGCUAGGUUCUUUUGGCCCAACGGAGUAUGAGGAACCUCUUGAUAACUUCCCUCUGUAUGAUAGGGCUAACUACGCC
This 375-nucleotide long non-coding RNA is filed under the name Setaria viridis. Its description in RNAcentral is "long non-coding RNA (SVIR_LNC010487)". Lineage: Eukaryota; Viridiplantae; Streptophyta; Magnoliopsida; Poales; Poaceae. The record is from RNAcentral.